RNAcentral lists this ribosomal RNA (398 nucleotides) under uncultured bacterium. Its description in RNAcentral is "partial 16S ribosomal RNA". It matches the Rfam family "Bacterial small subunit ribosomal RNA", at positions 523 to 918 of the family's 1533-position model. The record is from RNAcentral.
AUACGUAGGGUGCGAGCGUUGUCCGGAAUUACUGGGCGUAAAGAGCUCGUAGGUGGUUUGUCGCGUCGUCUGUGAAAUUCCGGGGCUUAACUCCGGGCGUGCAGGCGAUACGGGCAUAACUUGAGUACUGUAGGGGAGACUGGAAUUCCUGGUGUAGCGGUGAAAUGCGCAGAUAUCAGGAGGAACACCGGUGGCGAAGGCGGGUCUCUGGGCAGUAACGGACGCUGAGGAGCGAAAGCAUGGGUAGCGAACGGGAUUAGAUACCCUGGUAGUCCAUGCCGUAAACGGUGGGCGCUAGGUGUAGGGGUCUUCCACGACUUCUGUGCCGUAGCUAACGCAUUAAGCGCCCCGCCUGGGGAGUACGGCCGCAAGGCUAAAACUCAAAGGAAUUGACGGGG